AGUGCAAUUGCUGGACCAUAUGGUAAGAGUGUGUCUAGUUUUGCAAGAUUGUCAUCCAAAGUAGCUGUACUGUUUUGGAUUCCCAUCAGCAAU
Molecule: microRNA precursor, 93 nt
Filed under: Marmota monax (woodchuck)
Lineage: Eukaryota; Metazoa; Chordata; Mammalia; Rodentia; Sciuridae
Source: RNAcentral